Molecule: ribosomal RNA, 478 nt
Filed under: uncultured bacterium
Lineage: Bacteria
Description: bacterial SSU rRNA
Rfam family: Bacterial small subunit ribosomal RNA
Source: RNAcentral
UGAACGCUGGCGGCGUUGCUUAACACAUGCAAGUCGAACGAAGCACUUGAUUUGAUUUCUUCGGAAUGAAGAUUUUGUGACUGAGUGGCGGACGGGUGAGUAACGCGUGGGUAACCUGCCUCAUACAGGGGGAUAACAGUUGGAAACGACUGCUAAUACCGCAUAAGCGCACAGGAUUGCAUGAUCCAGUGUGAAAAACUCCGGUGGUAUGAGAUGGACCCGCGUCUGAUUAGCUGGUUGGUGAGGUAACGGCCCACCAAGGCGACGAUCAGUAGCCGACCUGAGAGGGUGACCGGCCACAUUGGGACUGAGACACGGCCCAGACUCCUACGGGAGGCAGCAGUGGAGAAUAUUGCACAAUGGAGGAAACUCUGAUGCAGCGACGCCGCGUGAGUGAAGAAGUAGUUCGCUAUGUAAAGCUCUAUCAGCAGGGAAGAUAGUGACGGUACCUGACUAAGAAGCUCCGGCUAAAUACGUG